This 251-nucleotide ribosomal RNA is filed under the name uncultured prokaryote. RNAcentral's name for it is "partial 16S rRNA". It matches the Rfam family "Bacterial small subunit ribosomal RNA", at positions 525 to 775 of the family's 1533-position model. The record is from RNAcentral.
ACGUAGGUGACGAGCGUUGUUCGGAAUUAUUGGGCGUAAAGGGUUCGUAGGAUGUUUAUUAAGAUUGGUGUGAAAUACCAAGGCUCAACCUUGGAACUGCAUUGAUUACUGAUGAACUAGAGUAUCGUAGAGGAAAGCGGAAUUCCAGGUGUAGCGGUGGAAUGCGUAGAUAUCGGGGAGAAGACCGAAAGCGAAGGGAGCAAACUGGGCGAUAACCCACUCUGAGUAACGAAAGCGUGGGUAGCAAAAAG